CCGCGCCCCCGCCCCUCGCGCGCCCCCGCCCCGCACGCCCCGGCCCCCCGCCCUCAGGCCUCAGGACGGGACAGGGAGGAGGAGAGAGGAAGGGGCCGCCAGCGGCGGGCGGGAUUCUGCGAGGCGCGUGAAGCCUCGCUGGCGCCUCGUCCGCGAUCCAGACGCUGGCGGGCGCGGAGUUUCUCACGACCGGCCGAGCCCGCCUCUGUUCAAAAGCCAUUUGCUUUCAUAAUCUGUUCUCAGAUUUGCCUAAGGAUUAAUAGGUUUGUAUGUCUGUAGUUCCUGAAAACUGCUUCAGUUCAGCUCACAAGACUUGAAGCAACUCUGACCCAUCUCUAGGCCAUGAUUAUUUCUCUCUUUCUGAGCUCUUUAUCCAACUGCGUAUGAGUCAGCUUUGUGAUUACACUUGCUAAUUGUUGAGCAGUAUGGAAUGGGUUGCAUCUGGACCCCAAGACUUGCACUCAUAAAGUUGUUUUAGUCUCUCUUAUUCAUCAGGCUCGAGUUUCAGUUCUCAAUGCUCUUCUGCAGCUUUAGUUUAAAACUGAGAAGAUAAGCAAAACACAAGUUGAGCAAUUCUGCCUUCUCUGUGUGCUCUCUCAACCUUAACAACAUCCUCUCUAAGCAGUGAUUCUCUCAGUUCCUUGUUCUCUCUGAGAAAUAGUCUGUU
This 667-nucleotide long non-coding RNA is filed under the name Equus asinus (donkey). RNAcentral's name for it is "lncRNA (ENSEASG00005028580.1)". The record is from RNAcentral. Lineage: Eukaryota; Metazoa; Chordata; Mammalia; Perissodactyla; Equidae.